GACGAACGCUGGCGGCGUGCUUAACACAUGCAAGUCGAACGGAAAGGCCCUGCUUUUGUGGGGUGCUCGAGUGGCGAACGGGUGAGUAACACGUGAGUAACCUGCCCUUGACUUUGGGAUAACUUCAGGAAACUGGGGCUAAUACCGGAUAGGAGCUCCUGCUGCAUGGUGGGGGUUGGAAAGUUUCGGCGGUUGGGGAUGGACUCGCGGCUUAUCAGCUUGUUGGUGGGGUAGUGGCUUACCAAGGCUUUGACGGGUAGCCGGCCUGAGAGGGUGACCGGCCACAUUGGGACUGAGAUACGGCCCAGACUCCUUCGGGAGGCAGCAGUGGGGAAUAGUGCACAAUGGGCGGAAUCCUGAUGCAGCAACGCCGCGUGCGGGAUGACGGCCUUCGGGUUGUAACCCGCUUUCGCCUGUGACGAAGCGUGAGUGACGGUAAUGGGUAAAGAAGCACCGGCUAACUACGUG
RNAcentral lists this ribosomal RNA (468 nucleotides) under uncultured bacterium. RNAcentral's name for it is "partial 16S ribosomal RNA". It matches the Rfam family "Bacterial small subunit ribosomal RNA", at positions 28 to 507 of the family's 1533-position model. The record is from RNAcentral.